UUGCUCCCAGGAUGGGCAGACAGUGCUGUGGUUCCACGUCCAACCUUUUAACCGCGCACCAUGUAACCCGCACCUCUGCGGGGCCCUCUGGGCACCGGAAGGGUGUGAAAUCCCUUUUACAAAAACCACGAAGACAUGGAAAGAUUUGUAACGAUGCUGCCGGAAAGAGCAGACCUCAAAAUCAUGUUGACAGCCCUGCUAAAAGUUUAUCCACCAAAAGACAGAGACAGAAGAGUCACAGAAGCCCAGGUGCUAUGAUGCAGGGUGGCUGGAGUGGAGGCUCCCACGGCAUUGGAACUCUGAACAUGUUCUAAGUUUAUGAAGAGGAAAGAGGUUUCUCUCUUCCUAUCACCAGGAGGAACCCAACCCUGGAGUUUUUCCUAUUUUCUGGCAAUAAAGUGAGAAUUUAUUCCACA
Molecule: long non-coding RNA, 416 nt
Organism: Sapajus apella (tufted capuchin)
Lineage: Eukaryota; Metazoa; Chordata; Mammalia; Primates; Cebidae
Exons: 2
Source: RefSeq, a predicted model, not a curated record